UUCCGGUUGAUCCUGCCGGACCUGACUGCUAUCGGAUUGAUACUAAGCCAUGCGAGUCAUUGUAGCAAUACAAGGCAUACGGCUCAGUAACGCGUAGUCAACCUAACCUAUGGACGGGAAUAACCUCGGGAAACUGAGAAUAAUGCCCGAUAGAACAUUAUGCCUGGAAUGGUUUAUGUUCCAAAUGAUUUAUCGCCGUAGGAUGGGACUGCGGCCUAUCAGUUUGUUGGUGAGGUAAUGGCCCACCAAGACUAUUACAGGUACGGGCUCUGAGAGGAGUAGCCCGGAGAUGGGUACUGAGACACGGACCCAGGCCCUAUGGGGCGCAGCAGGCGAGAAAACUUUGCAAUGUGCGAAAGCACGACAAGGUUAAUCCGAGUGGUUUCUGCUAAAGAAACCUUUUGUCAGUCCUAGAAACACUGAUGAAUAAGGGGUGGGCAAGUUCUGGUGUCAGCCGCCGCGGUAAAACCAGCACCUCAAGUGGUCAGGAUGAUUAUUGGGCCUAAAGCAUCCGUAGCCGGCUCUGUAAGUUUUCGGUUAAAUCUGUACGCUCAACGUACAGGCUGCCGGGAAUACUGCAGAGCUAGGGAGUGGGAGAGGUAGACGGUACUCGGUAGGAAGGGGUAAAAUCCUUUGAUCUAUUGAUGACCACCUGUGGCGAAGGCGGUCUACCAGAACACGUCCGACGGUGAGGGAUGAAAGCUGGGGGAGCAAACCGGAUUAGAUACCCGGGUAGUCCCAGCUGUAAACUAUGCAAACUCAGUGAUGCAUUGGCUUGUGGCCAAUGCAGUGCUGCAGGGAAGCCGUUAAGUUUGCCGCCUGGGAAGUACGUACGCAAGUAUGAAACUUAAAGGAAUUGGCGGGGGAGCACCACAAGGGGUGAAGCCUGCGGUUCAAUUGGAGUCAACGCCGGG
This 914-nucleotide ribosomal RNA is filed under the name uncultured marine archaeon. RNAcentral's name for it is "bacterial SSU rRNA". It matches the Rfam family "Archaeal small subunit ribosomal RNA", at positions 1 to 922 of the family's 1478-position model. The record is from RNAcentral.